RNAcentral lists this ribosomal RNA (468 nucleotides) under uncultured bacterium. RNAcentral describes it as "partial 16S ribosomal RNA". It matches the Rfam family "Bacterial small subunit ribosomal RNA", at positions 28 to 507 of the family's 1533-position model. The record is from RNAcentral.
GACGAACGCUGGCGGCGUGCUUAACACAUGCAAGUCGAACGGAAAGGCCCUGCUUUUGUGGGGUGCUCGAGUGGCGAACUGGUGAGUAACACGUGUGUAACCUGCCCUUGACUUUGGUAUAACUUCAGGAAACUUUGGCUAAUACCGUAUAGGAGCUCCUGCUGCAUGUUGGGGGUUGGUAUGUUUCGGCGGUUGGGGAUGGACUCGCGGCUUAUCAGCUUGUUUGUGUGGUAGUGGCUUACCAAGGCUUUGACGGGUAUCCGGCCUGAGAGGGUGACCGGCGACAUUGGGACUGAGAUACGGCACAGAAUACUACGGGAGGCAGCAGUGGGGAAUAUUGCACAAUGGGAGGAAGCCUGAUGAAGAAAAGCAGCGUGCGGGAUGAAGGCCUUCGGGUUGUAAACAGAUUUGGACUGUGACGAAGCGUGAGUGACGGUAAUGGGUAAAGAAGCACCGGCUAACUACGUG